Mastomys coucha (southern multimammate mouse) is the source of this 654-nucleotide long non-coding RNA. RefSeq lists it as uncharacterized. The record is from RefSeq and is a predicted model, not a curated record. The transcript has 6 exons. NCBI's taxonomy places the organism in Eukaryota, Metazoa, Chordata, Mammalia, Rodentia, Muridae.
CAUAGUAACACUGGAAUCCUUUACCACACAGUCUCAUAGAAUUCCACAGAACAAAACAUUCAAGACCAGGAGUCCAUAAACUACAGCUUGUUUCAAAUCUGGCUCAAGGAAGUGGGGACAGCAUGCUGGUAGUUUAUCUUAAAUGUGGCUUAGAUCCAGGCAUUUGGAUGUUGCGGCAUGAUGCUGUCAAGUGCUACAGGAAAAAUAUGCUGACAAUUCCAUUACUUUGAGAGGAGGCACAUGCAACUGAACAACACCUCAGUUAUACCUGACUGGAGUGAGACUGGAACUCAAUGUCUUAUGGUAGACUAAGAUCACUAUUAUUAAAGAUUACUGUGGUAAUUUGAAUGAGCAUGGCAUCUACAGACCCCAAUAUUUGGUGUGUUGGCCCAGAACCAAACGACUACACACUUGAGCCCCAAAGCCAAACUGGUAGCACCUGGGUCUGAUUUUUCAGCCAUCUGGCCCUCCAGAGAAUGUUCGUGUGGUAGUCUCUGAUGGGCUUAUUUCACAAGAAGACUGGCCAACCAUAUGAAAGAAAAACAAAUUGGAUUCCUAUGUGAAACCAUUUUAUAGAUGUAUUACAAAAGAAUUUAAAGACUUAAAUGUAAGAUAAAUUCAUCUAAUUCUUGAGAGAAAAUAUAUUUUUGUGAC